UUCAAAGUAUCACACGAUGUUUCUGCCAAG
This 30-nucleotide non-coding RNA is filed under the name Rattus norvegicus (Norway rat). The record is from RNAcentral. Lineage: Eukaryota; Metazoa; Chordata; Mammalia; Rodentia; Muridae.